This 253-nucleotide ribosomal RNA is filed under the name uncultured bacterium. RNAcentral's name for it is "partial 16S ribosomal RNA". It matches the Rfam family "Bacterial small subunit ribosomal RNA", at positions 524 to 776 of the family's 1533-position model. The record is from RNAcentral.
UACGUAGGAUGCAAGCGUUGUCCGGAUUUAUUGGGCGUAAAGAGUUCGUAGGUUGCAAAUCAAGUCUAAUGUGAAAUCGUAAGGCUUAACCUUAUACACGCAUUAGAUACUGAUUUGCUAGAGCAAGGUAGGGGUCAGAGGAAUUCCUGGUGUAGCGGUGAAAUGCGUAGAUAUCAGGAGGAACACCGGUGGCGAAAGCGUCUGACUGGGCCUUUGCUGACACUGAGGAACGAGAGCUAGGGGAGCGAAAGGG